Molecule: long non-coding RNA, 358 nt
Organism: Bombus pyrosoma
Lineage: Eukaryota; Metazoa; Arthropoda; Insecta; Hymenoptera; Apidae
Exons: 2
Source: RefSeq, a predicted model, not a curated record
CUGGCAUGGAGCCUGGCCAAACACAAACUUCUGUACGCUCGUCGAAUGAUAAACCUGCUGGACAGUCGAACUCGAAUACGGAGUAAUCUUCUACUUCUUGGUUGAAUUUAACACAUCGAUAGAAUCUAUAGGAGCAAGAUGGACAAAGUACCCUUGUCUAGAGCAAGUAAAUUCGGUUUGCGUAUUUUCUCGAACAACUCUGAUGUGUCCUUCAGUGUCUACUACGCGAACAACUCGAAAAUCGGAUGACUUGACUUUAGUCGAGUACUCAAGCUCUUUUUGCUGAAAUUAAAAAUCAUUUAACAAUUAAUCGAACAUUUUAUAAUAUUUGUACUAAUAAAGAAACGAAGUACUGAUA